AGUAGGUGCAGGAUUCUGAAGAUGGGUGUGCAACAUUGGGAAUAUUUUGGCUCAAUUUCAGAGUUCUAGGACAUUUUUUAAGAUAUAGUGUAAUGGUUGUGGCUUGUUGCUAAUCUUCUUUUAUUUGUUUUGGCAAAGUGCAUUAAAUGAAUAUAUAUUCAAGUAGUUGAAUAAAAUUAACAAAUGCAAUUAAAUAAUGCUCUAAUUUGCUGGCUAUCUUAUAUAACAGCAAUUUUUUCCUUUAUUAAUUUAACCUUGAGGCAGUAUUACAUAGCUUUCCACUAGUUGGCUUUUCAGUUCACCUUUCUAUAAUCACAUUACUUCAUUUUAUGUCACUUUAUUUUAUUUCUGUAACGUGCAGCUUCUGGAUGAGAAAAGGUGG
RNAcentral lists this unclassified non-coding RNA (382 nucleotides) under Hevea brasiliensis (rubber tree). The record is from RNAcentral. Lineage: Eukaryota; Viridiplantae; Streptophyta; Magnoliopsida; Malpighiales; Euphorbiaceae.